Molecule: long non-coding RNA, 6139 nt
Filed under: Sus scrofa (pig)
Lineage: Eukaryota; Metazoa; Chordata; Mammalia; Artiodactyla; Suidae
Description: lncRNA (ENSSSCG00030044312.1)
Source: RNAcentral
UUUUAGGGCCGCACCUGUGGCAUAUGGAGUUUCCCAGGGUAGGGGUCCAAUAGGAGCUACAGCCUCCAGCCUACACCACAGCCACAGCAACGCCAGAUCCUUAACCCACUGAGCGAGGCCAGGGUUCGAACCCACAACCUCAUGGUUCCCAGUCGGAUUCAUUUCCGCUGCAUCAUGACGGGAACUCCGCAAAUCCUUUUUUACUAACACAUUAAAUUCAAGAUCUAGCAAUGGAUUUGACAACUACUGUAAUGUGAAGACAUCUGCAACAGUUUGGGGUGAUAUGAAAAGAUCCACUCUCUAUGGAUGGCAACAUCACCGGUACCGCUAAGAGAACUAUGGCUUAUGGCCUGGGAUCAGGGUUGGAGGAAACGCUCACUCUCAGCUAAAUAUUAAUGAAGUAAAGACAUGACAGUUUUCUUCCAAGUUCACCACUCCCUGGAGUUCCACGUGAUCCCUGGACCCUGGGAUGCGAACUCCUGCCUUAGACAAAGUUCAUCCCUGACAGUAACCCGCCACCCCCUUUGCAGCUCAUGGAUCCAGUCUGCCACUCAGCAGUCCCCAUCCCUCCCCAGACAGAGGGUGCCCUUGGCCUCAGCCCCCAUCCCCAAGCAGAGGGGCAGAAAGCUUGCAGCAGGAGCAAAUGGGCCCCUGGGGGCGGGGAAGGUGGGGGGGGUCAGGCCACCUUCCUGCCCAGGGCAGGCCCAGCGGGCUUGGGUUGAGGGGGAGGCUGGGGAGCCAGCGGGUCUCAGGAACCCCUGGGGAGCUUGCGAGGCCCUCAAACUUCUAGGCUUCAGCCCUGAGAUUUGGAUUCUAGGGGCUCGAGGAGGGGCCCACCCCUCAGUCUUUCCCUCCAACCAUGGAGGGUCUACACUGUCAAGUUCAAAGGCCUCAAGGUCAGAAGCUCUCUGAGGUCUAUCUGGGAGGCUGGGGCUUCAGGCAGAUGGAAAAUUAUGUCCCCCACAUCUAGGGGGGUACCCAUGAAACCAGCCAAUGACUGUUUGCCUGCCAGAUGCCCAACGUCUCCCCGCCAUCACUCUAGAUAGCGGAGCCCAGGUUCUCUGCCAUUACCCAGCAUCGGCCUUUGGUUCGUGGCCUUCUUCUGGCCUCCCAUUCACCCCCUCCCCACCAAGGGGAGAAAACCGGACCACCUCACUACUGGCCUCACGUGUCUGGCGUGGAGAUUUUUAUUUUAUUUUAUUUUAAUUAAUUAAUUAAUUAAUUUUGCUUUUUAGGGCCACAGGUGCAGCACAUGGAGGUUCCCAGGCUAGGGGUCCAAUCGGAGCUGUAGCUGCUGGCCUACGCCACAGCCACAGCAACGUGGGAUCUGAGCUGCAUCUGCGACCUACACCACAGCUCUCAGCAACGCUGGAUCCUUCACCCACUGAGCGAGGCCACGGAUCGGAUCCACGUCCUCAUGGAUACUAGUUGGGUUGUUUCCCCUCAGCCACAUGGGAACUCCUGGAGUGGAGAUUUUAAUUUUCUGGAAAUCCUCGGGCCUUUGGAGAGAGCCUGGGGCUGGGGUGGGAGGCUGCAGUCUUUUCUGCUUCCCCCCGGGGGUUUGAGAUAGAAUAAACCAGAGGCAGGGAGGUGCUUUCCUGAAGUGUCCCUGGCCUGGGAGUGGGGGCUCUGGGCCUCUCGGCUGCCCACUGAAUCUCUUUCACAGAGCAGGGUCAGAUGGAACUUGCAGGGCUGGCCUCGUCCCCUUGGGAACGGGCCUUCCUCAUGGUUUGCUGUGCACCUGAGCCAGCUGGAAAGGGAGGCUGCCCCGGAAAGUAAGUGAGUCACCCGCAUCCUGAGGGCAGAACUGGGGUUCAGACCCCAAUCCGGACAAUGUGCCCCCAAAGCAGAAGCAAGCGAAGAGAAUGGGCUGGGAGCCAUGCGUCUUGGAUUCAAGUCCAGACUCUUGAAAACUGGGGAGAAGCCUGCCCUCCCGCUGACCCCCCUCCCACCCACCCGCAGUCGUCUGGCUGUUUCCCACGGUCAGCCCGCUGCAUCUAGAAGCCUCGGUGGGGAGCUGGAGCCCCCAGCCCUCCCUCUGCUGGCUCUCUCUUCCCAGGUUUCAUCCCCCUCAGGGCCCAGAGCAGCAGGAGACCCUUUGAAAGACUUGGUAAUCCAUCCCAAAAUAUGCAGGGCUGUUGCCGGGGCAACCUGGCUGCCACACAGCCCAGAUUUAAAUAUUUAAUGGCUUCAUGGGUAUUAAGGGGCCCUGGGAACUGGUCGGAAAGGGCACAGGUCUGAGCGGCGGGGGGGGGGGGGGGGGGGGGGGGGGGGGGNNNNNNNNNNNNNNNNNNNNNNNNNNNNNNNNNNNNNNNNNNCCCCCCCACCCAACAACCUCCAUCAGAGAAGGGUGCCCCCGUCGUCUGGCUUCUGUCCCUGUAUUUAAUGCCGAACCCAGCCAGAGGGUGAGACACAGAAUUCCACUGGGGGGGGCUGAUGGGAGGGGAGGCGUUCCAGGCAGAAUUUCUCUUUUUCCAAUGGACUCUUUUUCUGAAGUGGCUCCUGUGUGCUAAGAUCUUCCCUCCUCUUCUUUGAACCUCACUAUAAUCCUAUGAGGCGAGCAUCUUCUCAUCCCCAAUGUACAGCUGAGAACCAGGAUCAGAGACAUGAAGUGACUAGCCCAAGGUCACACAGCUGCUGAGUGGCAAGCCUGAACCCAAGCCCAGGUGGCUCCACAGCCAGGGUUCUUUUAGCUACUUCUGUCAGGAGCCAGGCUGGUAACUCUCACUGCAGGCAUGCAGGAAGCAUGAAGUCCUUUCCAGGGCUGGGCACUGUGCCAAGGUUUUUACAGGCUCUAAUUCACGCCCCUGUGAGGGAGGCGCUGUUCCCCCAUUUCACAGAGGUAGAAACGGAGGCCUGGGGAGGGCCCCACAGGGAAUCAGGGAAGCCUGCAUUCAGGCCUCAGUGGGGACUCUAGGGCCGGGCUUCAUCGUCUCGCUCUUCCUAGAGUUUAGAAAGCUGUAUAACAACAACAAAUAAAUAAAAAUCAAAUUGAAGAUCUCUUUUCACUCUGGUGCUUUGUCCACGUUCUCCCAAGAUGGCUAAGAGGGCAAGCGGUUCUUCCAACCGCUUAGUGAUAAAAAUAAGUCACCUUGAGAUUUUUUGGCUUCAUCAACUUGCUCUACACACAAGACACAGACAGACACAGCCUUGCAGACUCUGACAAACACACGCAUAGACAAGCAUACAACACAGACACACAUACAGACACCCAGACAGAUGCAGGCAAAGGCGCAUGUCCACAGACACACUCAGAUACUAUUUUAUUUCAUUUUUGGCUGUGCCCAUGGCAUGCGGAAGUUCCCUGGCCAGAGAUCAAACCCCCACCACAGCAGCAACCUGAGCCUCAGCAGUGGUAACGCUGAAUCCUGAACCUGCUGAGCCACCAGGGACUCACUCAAGACUAUUUUAAACAGUCAAACUGAUGUGAUUUUAUUCUUAAAGCUCUUCGGGAAGGAGGACAAACCCCAUAACCUCAUUCUUUUUUUUUUUUUUUCCUUUUUACGGCUGCACCUGGAGCAUAAGGAGGUUCUGAGUCUAGGGAGUCGAAUCACAGCUGCAGCUGCUGGUCUACACCACAGCCAUAGCCACGCCAGAUCUGAGCCAUAUCUCUGACUUACACCGCAGCUUGUGGCAAUGCCAGAACCUUAAUCCACUGAGCAAGGCCGGGGAUGGAGUCCCAGUUCUCAUGGACACUGUGUUGUGUCCUUAACCUGCUGAGCCACAUGGGAACUCUCCCACAACCUCAUUCUGAUGUCUCCUCCUUAAGUAGGGAAGUUCUUCCUGGUAUCUAACCAAAUUCCCUCCUGCUUGAUAUUAAUCACAACACACCUCCCAAAGCCCUCCUAUUUUUAUGCUCUUGCUUCAUCCUCAUAACCAUCCAGUGAGGCAACAGAGCAGAGAUGGUUGUACUAUUUUAAGGGGAGGGGGGCCCAGAGAAGUUAAGGAGUUUGCCUGAGAGGACACAGCUCCCGGUCAAGCUGGGCUUCACCCCAGGUGUCUGCUACUGAUUUCAUGGCUCCUUAAACUCCACCAGGUGCUGUCAGUGUCCCAUCAAUGUCACUUUGUCCUCUCCUCUCUGCAGUGAGUUUCUUGGAUCUCAACCUGUCAUUGUUCAGUGAAGGGACCAUGCUGGCCCUGGCUCCCCUCCCUCCUGCCUGAGUGAUGCCCUGAUGCAGCAUGGCGGGGGGGGCACCCAAAGUUGGAUGAGCCUGGAGUGUCCCCACCCAGAGGCCACCAGCAUCCCCCCUGUCCAGACAUGAUGUUUCCUGGGCUGAGAGCAGACUGGUGAGGCUUCCCCUUCUUCUCACCGCAUCCUCUACCCCAUCGGCAGCCCCCACCCCCACCCCCAUUCCCCAGGGACUAGGAACGGUCACCGGAGCAGAAACCAAGCCCCACCCCAGCCUCACGCCCACGGGGGCACCACCCCACUUGCAUUUGCUCGGCAGUGAAUAUUAGAGACCCCGGGUCUUCCCAGGCAACUGCCGUUGAUUCCCGUCACCUGGCCCGAAUUAGGGAGGCCACGACCCCUUCCCGUAAGAGGAAUGACGACAGGUAUUUAGACCUCAAGUUAUGGAGGGAAAACAAUGGAAAAGCAGAGAGUCUGUGACAAGAGAGUCCUGCCGGCUUGAGAAAAGCCGGAGAGGAAAUGAAUCAAAGGGAAGAGCCGGCGCUGGGGCCUGAAUAGGCAAGAGUCAGAGAAACCUGUUUUCUUUCCUCCCCAUAAAAAAUCCUCCCAGCCGCCCUCAGGAGAGAUGCAGGUCGGGGCGGGGGUGGAGAGGGAAAGGACUGGGCUUCGACGGAGGCAGGCACAGGCUCAGACAAAGGCACUGCAGCCUCCUUCACAGGAGCCUGGUCACCACGGCCACCAAACAUCAUUGAGUGCCCGGCCAGGAAGGAUGCUGGCGGUCCUGCCAGGAAGCUGCUGCGAUGAGCAAGUAUUUGGAUCUUACGGAACUCCAGGAGGGGGUUUCUACUUCCUUUUGACAAAAUGAUAAUCAAUAAUAAUAAUAAUAAAGUAAAACUUCUCCAGGUUUAAAACAUCUCUCGUUUCCCCAUCUGUGGAAUGGGACGAGAUCUCCCCCUUGCACAUCUAAGGGGCUGGUGGUGUCUGCGCAGCCUUGGCCCCUGUCUGAGGCUCUAGCGGAUGACAGGUGGCCCAUGCAGAGCAGACCAUGAGCCAAGCAUGUGUCCUGGGAUUAGUCCAUGCAGAGCGGGCUCGGAGCCAGGCCUGUGCCCUUGGAUUAGCCCGCUGUUCCUGGAAGGCCUAGCUUCUCUGCUGAGGCCCAGUAGCGAUUAGAAGGGGCAGGGAGUCCGGAGUGUGAUGUGGAUGGAUCCGAGCCCCGUCAUGGUUCUGCAUCCCCCAGGAGGACAGGAGGGUGGCGGUAGUGACAAUGACAAGAAUGAACAUCUACAGGGUGCUAACUAUGUGCCAGGCCCAGUUCUUAGUGCUUCCUAUCUGUUAACAUUAUUUUCACAACAAUCUUCAAAGUGGGUAUAAUUAUUAUGCUCACUUGCAGAUGAGGAAACAGAGGCGCAGAGAAGUGAAUUAACUUGCCCCAAGUCACACAGUUAUUAGGUUUGAACCCUGGCAGGUGGUUCCAGCAUCUGGGCUCAGAGGGUGUCCAAGAUGCCCCGUAGCUGGUGGGGCAAAGCAUGGAGCUCCCUAGAAUUAGGAAACUCACUAGAAAAGAGGAUUGCAGUGGGAAAUGGGGGGCUCAGGGUCUAGACCCUGCUCUGCCACUAACCAACCAUGUGAUGUCAAUUAAAUCACUCGCUUCCCGCGCCCUCACACAGGGCUUCUGGCAGUGGCACACAGGGGAGCUGGCAGUGUGGCCAAAAGCAUAACAAUGGCUGCUGGCAUCGUCUCCCCCACUCGCUACCCCUGUGGCCUUGGCCCCUCUGAGCCCAGUGAACCCUGCAAUCUCAAGGGUCCUGGGAAUAUCAGUGGGACCACAUUGCUUGAGGCAUGGAAAACUCUAGAAGUGGGAGCUUUCACUGUUCAUUUGACAGCCACGCCUUUUGCUCAUCCGCCCUCAGUCCUGAGCCAUGGUUUCAUGGCUCCCAAUGCCAAUGUUGAGCAAACUUCGAAAUGUCACUGAUCCAUUUCUUCUUCUUUUUUUUUGUCUUUUUAGGGUCA